Molecule: long non-coding RNA, 671 nt
Filed under: Homo sapiens (human)
Lineage: Eukaryota; Metazoa; Chordata; Mammalia; Primates; Hominidae
Description: non-protein coding lnc-ASTE1-1:2
Source: RNAcentral
AAUCCACCUCUGCAUGUGAUCAUCUGCAUUUGACUCCUUGAACUAUGGCAGCCAGCUGGAGCCAUGAAGUAAGCCACCCUAACAUGAGUGGCAGAAACAUGGAGAGACAGGGUUUCACCAUAAUGGCCAGGCUGCUCUCCACCUCCUGGGCUCAAGCGAUCCACCCACCUCAGCCUCCCAAAAUGUUGGGAUUGCAGAUAUGAGCCAUAGUUCCCCUCCAUCAGUCUUAUAGUUAAAUAGACUUCAAAAGAAUGGAAGUGGCUCAGAUCCCUCUCAACUUCUAAGAGACCCUGAUCUCUCAUCCCAUUGGCCCUUCUAAUAGAGCUAUUGGCAUUCACAUCCUAUUUUCAGCCCAAAUGUCAGUUCCUGGAGUACAAAGGCGGUGGCUGCUUCAGAUGCUUCAGACUGAAACUGCUCUUUGCCAUUCUCAUGGACACUGGAGAGUUAAGUUUGGUUAAAUUGAUGCCUUUUUCUUUUAAAAAAGAAAGAAUACACAUAUACCUUUGUGUACACACAAGCUAGGAAACAUCAAUCUAAUACAUGGAUGGCAAGAAAAACCAGAUCUGGCUCAUGCCAGUUACAAUGGUCUGUGAAGAUAAAAAGAUUUCUUCAGAUUUAUUUCUCAGCCAAUUUCUGCUUUUCCUAGGGAGAAAUUAAAAGUUUGUUAAAUA